UGAAAUAUCUCAGUGCGUCGUGUACCGUUCUUAUGUACGGGUUUAUCGUGCGUCCCUGUACACUAUACACUAAAAAAAAAUAAAUAAUAUUAUUAUAUAAAUAUUUCAUAUAUAUACAUAUGCAUGCACGCAUAAGAAAACAGGAACUGCAAUAGACCGGAUCCUAUUUGAAACAGGCUCACGAGAAUUAAAAAAAAAUAAAUUAAAAUAAAAUAAAAACGAAAAGUUGAUGUGUUUGUGUGUGUUUAUUUUAUCCGAAAAAUUGUGUGCUUUCUUGUGUCCUCACCUCACAAAUACUAUAUAACUCUUAAUGGAUUAUCUCUAAAUCACGACAAAGAUUUGACUGCCGAUGGUGCUAAUGAGGGUCCGGGGGCACCAUGGAAAGCUGACCAUGGGGUAAUUCGAAAACCUCCUCCCCCGACAACAACAACAACAAAAACAA
This is a long non-coding RNA of Nicrophorus vespilloides, 442 nucleotides long. RefSeq lists it as uncharacterized. The transcript has 2 exons. NCBI's taxonomy places the organism in Eukaryota, Metazoa, Arthropoda, Insecta, Coleoptera, Silphidae. The record is from RefSeq and is a predicted model, not a curated record.